GAUGAACGCUGGCGGCGUGCUUAACACACGCAAGUCGAGCGAAGCAAUUUAAAGGAAGUUUUCGGAUGGAAUUUAGAUUGACUUAGCGGCGGACGGGUGAGUAACGCGUGGGGAACCUGCCUCGUACUGGGGGAUAACAGUUAGAAAUGACUGCUAAUACCGCAUAAGCGCACGGGAUGGCAUCAUCUGGUGUGAAAAACUCCGGUGGUAUGAGAGGGACCCGCGUCUGAUUAGCUAGUUGGUAGGGUAACGGCCUACCAAGGCGACGAUCAGUAGCCGACCUGAGAGGGUGACCGGCCACAUUGGGACUGAGACACGGCCCAAACUCCUACGGGAGGCAGCAGUGGGGAAUAUUGCACAAUGGGCGAAAGCCUGAUGCAGCGACGCCGCGUGAGUGAAGAAGUAUUUCGGUAUGUAAAGCUCUAUCAGCAGGGAAGAAAAUGACGGUACCUGACUAAGAAGCCCCGGCUAACUACGUGCCAGCCGCCGCCGUAA
RNAcentral lists this ribosomal RNA (495 nucleotides) under uncultured bacterium. RNAcentral describes it as "partial 16S ribosomal RNA". It matches the Rfam family "Bacterial small subunit ribosomal RNA", at positions 28 to 523 of the family's 1533-position model. The record is from RNAcentral.